Molecule: long non-coding RNA, 323 nt
Filed under: Crocodylus porosus (Australian saltwater crocodile)
Lineage: Eukaryota; Metazoa; Chordata; Crocodylia; Crocodylidae
Description: lncRNA (ENSCPRG00005018535.1)
Source: RNAcentral
UAUGUGCAUAGCUAACAUUUGUGUAUAUUUUAAUUAAGGUUGUAUGUCUUACCUACUAAGAGCCUCAUACCCCAAGAGAAAUCAAUGAGUCCCCUGCAGUGGUGUAGACACUUUUUGGAUCAUCCAACUCCUGAGAUAGAAGCCGCAAAACGUUCCCUGUGCUUUAGACUGGAACAAGCUAGCCGAUGGCGGAAUCUCUUCUCUACGCCUGUCUCCUUGGCUUUCCCUUAUAGUCCUGUUGCAAGACUGUCCCCAUAUAGCAAUGGCUUUAAUAGUCCCAACUUCUCUAAAACCUCGAAUAAAGCAAUACUAACACCUGAAAG